RNAcentral lists this transfer RNA (68 nucleotides) under Mexistrophia reticulata. Its description in RNAcentral is "tRNA-Trp". The record is from RNAcentral. Lineage: Eukaryota; Metazoa; Mollusca; Gastropoda; Stylommatophora; Cerionidae.
CAAAUUUAUAAGAUAAGUAAUCUAAAAACCUUCAAAGUUUUAAAUAGCUAAAAGAAGCUUGAAUUUGA